UACGGAGGGUGCAAGCGUUAUCCGGAUUCACUGGGUUUAAAGGGUGCGUAGGUGGGCAGGUAAGUCCGUGGUGAAAUCCCUGAGCUUAACUCGGGAACUGCCAUGGAUACUAUUUGUCUUGAAUAUUGUGGAGGUAAGCGGAAUAUGUCAUGUAGCGGUGAAAUGCUUAGAUAUGACAUAGAACACCAAUUGCGAAGGCAGCUUACUACACAGUUAUUGACACUGAGGCACGAAAGCGUGGGGGAUCAAAACAGG
RNAcentral lists this ribosomal RNA (255 nucleotides) under uncultured bacterium. Its description in RNAcentral is "partial 16S ribosomal RNA". It matches the Rfam family "Bacterial small subunit ribosomal RNA", at positions 524 to 776 of the family's 1533-position model. The record is from RNAcentral.